CCUGUACAAAACUCUGUACACUUGAUUUUUCUUUCAGAUGUAGAAAUACGUUCUCAUACACAAUUUCAAAGUGGGAGAGGAAAAUGAUAGCUUGUGAAUGGGAAGAACCAUCAGAUAAGCAAAACGGAUGAAGCCUGACCCCUGGAGUAUUCUGUUUGUCAGGGGAUGUGCUGGAACAUGAAUAUCAACAAGCAGGUUAAUCCUUAGGCUGUCACUUUCUCCCAUGUACACAGCAGCAUGUUUUUUGCUGCUAGAAACCUUGGGGAUCUACGUAAUGUCAGAGAGCAAAUCAGUACCAUGCAGGGCUCAGGAGAAAUGCACUAAUCUGGCCCAACUUGACUGGAAGAUAACUGAUGUAGCUUCUAUGAAUGACCCAAGUGAAUCCAGCAUUGGCUAAUGAAGCAUUUUAAAAUCAUGAAUGAAG
This 424-nucleotide long non-coding RNA is filed under the name Anser brachyrhynchus (Pink-footed goose). RNAcentral describes it as "lncRNA (ENSABRG00000004033.1)". The record is from RNAcentral. Lineage: Eukaryota; Metazoa; Chordata; Aves; Anseriformes; Anatidae.